RNAcentral lists this ribosomal RNA (1927 nucleotides) under human gut metagenome. RNAcentral's name for it is "bacterial LSU rRNA". It matches the Rfam family "Bacterial large subunit ribosomal RNA", at positions 3 to 1973 of the family's 2925-position model. The record is from RNAcentral.
UCAAGUGACUAAGUGCAUGCGGCGGAUGCCUUGGCGAUCACAGGCGAAGAAAGACGCGGCAGCCUGCGAAAAGCUGCGGGGAGCUGGCAAACGAGCUUUGAUCCGCAGAUAUCUGAAUGGGGGAACCCACACCGCAAGGUGUAUCCGUAGCUCAAUACAUAGGUUACGGAGGCGAACGAGGAGAACUGAAACAUCUAAGUAUCCUCAGGAAAAGAAAUCAACCGAGAUUCCGGCAGUAGCGGCGAGCGAACCCGGAGGAGCCCAGCUUUUGAUAGUACGAACUUUAGCCGAAAGGUCCUGGAAAGGCCUGCUAUAGUGGGUGAUAGCCCCGUAGGCGAAAGAGUUGGUACGGUACUAAGGAAGCGAGAAGUAGAGCGGGACACGUGGAAUCCUGUUCGAAGACGGGGGGACCAUCCUCCAAGGCUAAAUACUCGUGAUCGACCGAUAGUGAACCAGUACCGUGAGGGAAAGGCGAAAAGAACCCCGGGAGGGGAGUGAAAUAGAACCUGAAACCGCAUGCAUACAAACAGUAGGAGCCUCGUCAGAGGUGACUGCGUACCUUUUGCAUAAUGGGUCAGCGACUUACAUUCUGUGGCGAGCUUAACCGAAUAGGGGAGGCGCAGCGAAAGCGAGUUCGAAAUGAGCGUCCAGUCGCAGGGUGUAGACCCGAAACCAGAUGAGCUAUCCAUGGCCAGGUUGAAGGUGUGGUAACACACACUGGAGGACCGAACCGACUAGUGUUGCAAAAUUAGCGGAUGAGCUGUGGAUAGGGGUGAAAGGCCAAACAAAUCUGGAGAUAGCUGGUUCUCCCCGAAAACUAUUGAGGUAGUGCCUCGUGUGUCGCUCCAGGGGGUAGAGCACUGUUUUGGCUAGGGGGACAUGGAGUCUUACCAAACCAAGGCAAACUCCGAAUACCUGGAAGCGUAAGCACGGGAGACAGAGCACCGGGUGCUAACGUCCGGACUCAAAAGGGAAACAACCCAGACCGCCGGCUAAGGUCCCAAAUAACAGCUAAGUGGAAAACGAAGUGGAAAGGCCGUGACAACCAGGAAGUUGGCUUAGAAGCAGCCAUCCUUCAAAGAAAGCGUAAUAGCUCACUGGUCGAGUCCUUCUGCGCGGAAGAUGUAACGGGGCUAAGCUGUUAACCGAAGCCGCGGAUGCACUGGUUAUCCAGUGCGUGGUAGGGGAGCGUUCUGUAAGUCUGCGAAGGCGGUUCGAGAGGACUGCUGGAGAUAUCAGAAGUGCGAAUGCUGACAUGAGUAACGUUAAAGCAGGUGAAAAGCCUGCUCGCCGUAAGCCCAAGGAUUCCUGCUCUACGUUCAUCGGAGCAGGGUGAGUCGGCUCCUAAGGUCAGGCCGAAAGGCGUAGCCGAUGGGAAUCAGGUUAAUAUUCCUGAACCUGCGUCAGAUGCGAUGGGGGGACGGAGCAUGGAAGAUCAUCCGGGUGUUGGAAGUCCCGGUUGUUUAGCGUAGGAGGUCUGCAGGCAAAUCCGCAGACGCAUCUCCAAGGCAAAGACACGUGCCGCCACGGCGGCGAAGUGAUCGGAAGUGCUUCCAAGAAAAGCCUCUAAGCCCCAGUCUGACGCGGACCGUACCGCAAACCGACACUGGUGGGCGAGCUGAAUAUGCUCAGGCGCUUGAGAGAACUCGGGAGAAGGAACUCGGCAAAUUGACACCGUAACUUCGGAAGAAGGUGUGCCGUAGUACCGUGAGAGGAGAGACACCUUGAGCGGGAAACGGUCUCAGAGAAUAGGUGGCUGCGACUGUUUAUUAAAAACACAGCACUCUGCAAAGUCGAAAGACGACGUAUAGGGUGUGAUGCCUGCCCGGUGCUGGAAGAUUAAUUGAUGGGGUGAGAGCCCUUGAUCGAAGUCCCAGUAAACGGCGGCCGUAACUAUAACGGUCCUAAGGUAGCGAAAUUCCUUGUC